RNAcentral lists this non-coding RNA (25 nucleotides) under Mus musculus (house mouse). The record is from RNAcentral. Lineage: Eukaryota; Metazoa; Chordata; Mammalia; Rodentia; Muridae.
UCAGAAAAGGGUGCAGACGAGGAAG